RNAcentral lists this ribosomal RNA (468 nucleotides) under uncultured bacterium. RNAcentral's name for it is "partial 16S ribosomal RNA". It matches the Rfam family "Bacterial small subunit ribosomal RNA", at positions 28 to 507 of the family's 1533-position model. The record is from RNAcentral.
GACGAACGCUGGCGGCGUGCUUAACACAUGCAAGUCGAACGGAAAGGCCCUGCUUUUGUGGGGUGCUCGAGUGGCGAACGGGUGAGUAACACGUGAGUAACCUGCCCUUGACUUUGGGAUAACUUCAGGAAACUGGGGCUCAUACCGGAUAGGAGCUCCUGCUGCAUGGUGGGGGUUGGAAAGUUUCGGCGGUUGGGGAUGGACUCGCGGCUUAUCAGCUUGUUGGUGGGGUAGUGGCUUACCAAGGCUUUGACGGGUAGCCGGCCUGAGAGGGUGACCGGCGACAUGGGGACUGCGAGACGGACCAGAAGCCUACGGGAGGCAGCAGGGGGGAAUAUUGCACAAUGGGCGGAAGCCUGAUGCAGCAACGCCGCGUGCGGGAUGACGGCCUUCGGGUUGUAAACCGCUUUCGCCUGUGACGAAGCGUGAGUGACGGUAAUGGGUAAAGAAGCACCGGCUAACUACGUG